UGUGUAUUUUUAAACGUUCAAAUUCAAGGAACCGUCUGAACUUUCCACUAAAACAGGACAUUAUGCUGAAAGGCGUUAAAAAAUACUUUUAACAUUAUAUUUCUACUCAUAUUGGGUCUAGAUUUGUUUUAAAUUCAAUUCACACUUUAUUUGAGACUCACAUGAGGGUCCAGCAACUUGAGGUGUCUUCAAAGUUAGCUAAGCGUCAAUCGUGAGGUCACUGGAUGACCUGAAGUAGCUUCAAAUAUUUGUGUUUAGUUGGUAACUAGAACAUGAAGAGGAAGUGUGUGUCUGGUGUAGUUUGGACAAAAAUGACUUUAAAAUGUACCAUUUUAGCUUCAUAUAAUGUUCAUGAUGGACAAACCGGGUUUAGACAAUUAUUCCUUUUAGAGAAAUAGUUGAUGCCUUAACUUUAAAAAAAAAAAAAGAUUCCAAAAGUAAGACCACUGUAUGACACUGACACAGUAAACACUAAAGGCUGGCCUUAAAAGUACAGUAUAGAUAUAAAGGCUUGACCCUCAAAGGGCACACACACACAUUGCUCAGGCAUGUGUGCAUCAUGUGUGUGCGGCCUGUCACUGGUUGAAAACAGCCCUUCACCAAUUAUCGCCGACUUGAUAAUGGCUUCGUUCGCAGCCGUUUGCUCUGACUUCCAAUUGAACUUUCGACUGCCCCCUAGCAACCACACAAACAAGCUGCUGGCAAACUUAGGGCUUGUGUGUGUGUGUGUGUGUGUGUGUGUGUGUGUGUGUGUGUGUGUGUAGUGGGAAUUCCCUGCGACGGACCAUGCAAUGUUGCAAUGCCUCUCUCUCUCUCACUCGAUCCUCUUCUCUCUUUACCUCCUGUCUUUGUUUUUCUGUAGCCACCCUCUGUGCUGUUGGCGACUAAUAAGGAUAAUGGCAGUUAUUCAGUGGCUCAACUGUCAACUGUGCUGAUAGAUGAGGGUCACACACACACACACACACACAAAUGCACAGCACACCAUAGCUAAUUCUCAAUUAUGGCUGAUGGAGGGAGUGAACCCUCUUUUUUAAAAAGUCCAGAGCUAAAGGAGAGUAUGUCCCGUGGGGCAAAAGAAAGAGAAAAGGAGCGUCUGUGUGUGUCAGAAGAAAAGAAGAGGUUGUUGUCUUUGAGAAUUGCCUUUUAAAAGCUGACCUGGCCUUAUUUUCUAGCCACCUAUAGAGGAGCCUGGGGCAGAGGAAUCUAGGAUGUGGAGAGAAGAGGAGGAAGACGUCGGAAGAGGAAAGAGGCGAGGAUGUGCGGUGGGGUGGGGGCAAGGCGGGGUGUCACUGUCUGAGGGCAUUCCUCUGCAUACAUCACAUGGGAACAAAGAGGAGAUGAGGGUGUGUGUGUGUUGCAUGUGUGUUUCAAGCAUAUUGUCUGCAGUGAUGAAUAUUUUGGGUGUAGCUAGGCAUCAUACAACAUGCGUGUUUCCUGUUAUACCAAUGUAUUUCUGCUCAUGUGUGUGUGUGUGUGUAUGUGUGUGUGUGCGUGUGUGUGUGUGUGUGUUGCCACUGCAGUACAGCACAAUGGGGGUUGGGGGUGUCUUCCUCUGGCUGUGACGUAGUGUGUGGAGAAGGAAAUUAGGGCACGACUCAGCUUAGAGCUGGUGCUAUUGUUGCUUCGCUUCUGUCAGGACAGACUAUGACACACACGCAUGCAUGCACGCACACACACACACACACACUCACACUCUCACACACAGUCACUGACUUUUAACACCAUAUCGGAUCAAAAUGACAUAUUUAGUUAUAAAACAUAGCGACGGUCAGAAUUUUCCAACUGCAAUGUUCUAAUGUUUAGUAUGUCAAUGUGUGUGUGUACAUAUAUAUAUAUGUAUGUAUUAUUAAAUCUGGCAUAGCGUAUAACGAUGACCACAGAAGCAGUCCUCCAGCCAGGCUGCCGCUUCAUCUCACUAGUUGGAUCUUUGAUGUGGAGCGUUGGACUUGGACAGUAGCUGGACUGAGGCUGGUAAAUAUUUUAGCUCGGGCACUUCUUUAGUUUCACUGCCCUGCAAUGAUACAGUGACUCAGCCCCUCUUGCUUUUACUUACGUGCGCGUUUUCCCAUAUAAGUCCAUUAUUGUGUGACAAUAUGGGACUAAUUUGGCUGGCAUGUCGUGAAGAAGUGUCAAUAUUCACACAUGCAGCACCUUAUGAGGGAUGACUUAACCUUAGGUUACUCUUCAGGCAGGCCUCAAAUUGUUUGAAACGUGUAUAUUAAAAUUAAUAUGCAGCUUGUCUCGGAAAAAAAAGAGGUUCUAAGGCUUUUGAUAGAAAAAUGUGUCAUCAGAGGAACUGAAAGAGGAAGUGCGAGAUGGCGUUGUUACAAAGUACAUGAAACCAACGAAUGAAUUCUAACUCGAUGUCCUCAUUUAACGCUCCCUGAAAAGAGGGAAGAGAGAUUCACACAUUAACACAAGUGUGUUUAAAUCUGACAACAACAUCAUCCUCAGUGAUGGAAACAGUCCUUUCACACUUACAGUCACCUGCAACUUGAUCCUGGCUGUGCGCACUUGACUUUGGACCAAAGUCACAGUGGUGUGUUCACAAACACAGCUGUGUCCUAACGUUCUGAAGAAAUGACGCAGUACGCCAUUAGGAUGAGAUAAAGUCACCUGUUGUCCAACGAAAACCAAGUCGAUUCAAGAAUGCUCUUGAAUCCGGCUCCGGUUUGCUCCCUGCGAUCGUAAAACACUGGAAGUGGAGCAGGAAGAGAGGAGGGACGGUGAACUCUGAGGAAUGCACGUUCAAACUGUCUGCACACGGUUACCUGAUCACUGCUGUUGGGGGGAAUAAAAGAAACAGCUGCACUUCGCAAAACCCGCUUUCGCUGCAGGAGGUUAUGGCAGCAAAUUGUUUAAUUGCAACUGUUUGAACGGCAGAUGGUGGGCGGCGACUAUACUGUACCUGAGGGUGGGGCUGUCAGCCAGCCCAAUGGAUUAGAGUUUAAUGUCAGGUUUGCGUUUCACUUGAGGGUUUACCACACACUUAGACACAGAAGCUGGAUUUCUACAGUUGGGAACCCUCCCAAUGUUCUUCAUUAGAAAAUAAAUUCCAUCUACAUGUAUCCGGCUACAAGUAUGAACUGAUCAUACUGAGACUUUGAAUAAAGCAGAACUUGUGUAAAUGCUUUUCUGUUCCACUUAUUAUCAUUGAGACGUUGUGAUAAUUUGACUGCCAGUAGACUCACAGGAAGGGUUUAAAGAUAACACACUUACUCCUCAUCGACAUAACGACGGAAGUUUAUUAACGGCAGCAUAGUGGGAUCUCUGUACGAAACAGAAUUUUGGGCAUGUGUCAUCUCUUUAGAUCUGACUUCCUUAAAGGCACAUUUUCCUCACUGGAUUAUGGACAUUGUUGGGUCGCUUUGCAGUUCACACCACAUGCCUUGCUUGUCUUAUGAUCAGAGAUUUGCAGUCGUUGUGAGUAUUUUCCUGUACCUCAAAAACUGGGGCUGAACGUUGUGUAGUGUGGACCUUAUUGCCUUAUUUUCGGUCGUCACAGCACCUGAAUGACUCUGCAGCUCUGUGUGACAGUUGAGGAGGAAAAUAUGCUUCAAUGCAACAAUGCCCAGGUUAUCCAGCGACGAGAGAUGUUCGCAGGAGACGGGGAGGUUUAUCUAACCCGCUGCACCUCUUGAAAGUAAAUCUUCAGCCCUCAAAUCCAAGACGCGUGUGAUGAUGAAGUAGAAACUCAGCCUGCGGUGGAGUACGGGCGCGGCCCCACAGUUGCUGCUCUCCAACAAGAAACACCUUAGGUCACUGCGGAACUUGCUGCCCAGACUUGCAACAGAGCGCUUGAAGUGAGUCAGAACAAAAGGAAGCAGAGCCAGCGAUCAAAGAUCAAAGCUGGCGUGGUGUCGGUGUCUACCCUCCGAUCAGGGCACUGCGGGUCUGCAGGUUGGAAGGUGAAAGCAGGUGGCCUCGUCCAGGAGGGACGAUGCCGUGUUUUCAUACCGGAAAGAAAAAAAAAACCCUCUUUGUGGCGUUUGAAAAAGCAGUUGAAGUUCCAGGGUUUCACUUCACUUUCACUUCUUUGGCGGCACAAAGGAGAACGAAGGUUUUAGCGUCCCCAAAUACACGUGCUCAAGUAUUGCACUAUUGCACUCCGAUCCGUUCGUGCCACCUCAUGCCUCUACCGCAGCUCAGCGAGACGUAUUGUACUUAAUUUAUUUGACAGCUGCAGAAACUGGUCUCUUUGCAAAUUUUGAAAGGUUACGAAAUCUGAAGCUUUGUAUAUAUAAGAUGUCAUACACAUUAAGGCAUUGGUUGCAAUAAUCUAAUUAUAUAUUACCGUGUAACACUCACAGGGGCGCGGGUUCUUUUUUACUUUUGAUAAUGUCAUUUUGCUAAGAAUACAUAGUUUUAAUUAAGUCACAUUAAACAUUCAGGACUAACUUGUAAAGGGUUAUAAUUAUCCUAUGUUCCACCAGCGUUCAACAAUAUUUCUAAUGGCAAAUAUUUUCAAUUUUCAAAUCCAAUAUUUUCCAAUAACAAUUGUGUCAAUAAAACUGGAUGCGUAUAUAGCCACAGAGAAUAAGUUUUUCUGUCUUCAUUUUUGUUACCACUCCUUUUUAUCUGAAUGGGUCCGGUUCAGGAAGGUAGGGGCAUUCUGGGAAAUGUAGGAAGCCAUUAAUUCAUGCAGACGUAAGCAAAGAAACUUGAGGGCUACGCCCAGAAAGACGAGCUGCGUAUCUCUAACACAAUUUAACAUCUGUUACUUCUGGAUUUGUCUUUGCUGCUCAUAAAUGAAUAAGGGGAAAUUACCUGGGCAGAGGUCAUGAACUUAAGUUGAUCUCGAUGAGCUGUGAGAUUGCCAUCAGCGCUCGCGACCUGCCGGGUUAACUGGAAACGCCAAAACACACUCCCUCUUUGUUGGACUCCUCCUUAUCAAGCUCAUGGCGUUUUUUUUUUGUUUUUUUUCCCCUUUUCUGUGAACCAUGAGUCUUUUCUCUGUCCAGUUUGAAAAAAAAAAACAGGUUUGUCCAUGAAAGAAGGAUUGGUUUAAAAAAUUACCACCCGUACAAUGAACCGAUUCAUCCUCAUAUGAAGAUGGUAACUCAUUGUGGUCUUUCCGUGGAAAUGGUGAACCUGUGGUCUCAGGGACAUCAAGAGUUUGUAUUCCACAUGAGAAACUAUGUGUGUGUUAAAAUACUGUAAACAUUCUCACAAUUUAUGGGCUUUUAGGAACAUGAUGUAUGAGUAUAUCCAUCAGGGAACACUUCAUUUGAGAGCCCAGUCUUCUGACCACAAUUUGGCCCCAUCACCUAAAAAUUUAUAUCCUCAAUAUCUCGUAUGUCCUUGACUGACUCGGAUAUCACAUCCUUCCUUCUUCCCCUUCACUGCAUGAAUGUUUUAUUACACAAUGACGGCCGGUGUUAAAGAGGCUAAUCACUUACUUCUAAAAUAUAAUGUCAUCUUCCCUCUCUUGACCUUGGAAAGGUUGUUUUUUCGCAGCAUUAUUUGCUAUCAGGAUACUUGAAGCAAGUCAUGAAUGAACGCAGUAUAAGUCCUGCAGGUUUUCAUUGUCAGGCUGGUAUUCAAGGAGACAGGUGACCUUCCAAAAAUGGUGAUUCUGCUCUCCCCUUCCCCAUCUCUUCCUCUUUCCUUUCCUGUAGUUGUGCAUAUUUUUUUUCUCACCCUCCCUCACCUUCUUUUUCUCAUCAUCCUGUACCUCUUUAUUUCUGUUAGCCUUCUUCUGUCCUCGAGUCUCAAUCAUCCUGCUUCCCUCGUCUGCAGUAAUUCUGUUUUGUGGUAUGAAAAAAGGACAGGGCCUCGCAGCGAAACCAGACUUGGCCAUUAUUGGAAAUAGUGUGGCGGAUGAGUCAAGGGGUGCGUAUUUAAUGAAGUGCAGGAGGUAAUAACUCUUUCAUCACUCUCAUUGUUUCAUUUUUGUUCCACAGCAAGCAUGGCCCGCUUGCCCGUCCAUCUUGCCACAGUGCUUGUGUUAUAUCUACACCCCCACGGUGGUGAAGUAAUCAUACUGGACAUCAAUCUGAAGCAUGGGGGUUGGUGUGAUGCGACACAGAAAAAUACUCGCAGUCUCUGAUCUCGAGACACACAUCAGAACGUGUCUCUCCAGCCUAGUAAAUGGUACAAGCCCCGACAUCUUCUAUUUGUUAUAGUGAUAUACUGUAUGGGAAACUGUGGUGGCGGUGAAUGCAAAAUGGUCUCAAAUAGGAACGGAUGCACUGAAUUAUUGAACACAAUGCAGGGACCUGAGCUGAGGCGUGCUCUCCCUGUAACUAUUGUUACCCUGAUCGUCCGUCUUCGUUGACACGAAGCAGGAAUCACAAGGGCGGGCAAACGAAUGAAUGAGUGUUUUAUUCAGUGAGGUUGUCCUGUCGCGAGGCUGCAGUCCUCAUCCCACUUCAUGUUGAGAAGGACCGGAGGGAAAGGAGCUGGAAGGGAGUGCAACUGCAUGCAAAGUCAGUGUGAGAAAGCGACGUUUCACGCGUCAGGUUUCGGGUUUCAAGGCUGUAAAAAAAAGAAAGAAAAGGCCCAACUUGACUCAUGGUGGUAAUGUACAGAUGUGCUACUCAAGUUUAAAAUAAGCCACUGAGGACUCCUGAGGGGCCCAAUUAUUAUUUAGCUGCAGGGGGAAAUGUCUGUUGGGAGCUUUGGACCAAAUGAAAUAGCAUUUUUGUUGCUGGGAUUGACAGCAAUGUUAAAAAAAGAAAGAAGUUCACUUGCAGGGAUGCAGCCACGUGAGCUUUUCGACCAGUCCUACAGCUCCAGCAAAUUAUUAAUUUUGGCCUCUUUAACGUCAUUUUUUUUUUUUUAAUACAUCAAAUCUAUUGUUUGCCUUUUACAGCAGCAGUAGCAGCCGGCAGCCGCUGUAUCAGACACGCUCUGAUGGACCUGGUGAACACUACCUGCCCAGCACCAGAUGGCAGACUGAUAUAUCUAGCAGGAUGCAAUAAUAGCGGAACAUGUAGCAACUACAGAGACAGAUAAUACAGGAACACUGUAAGGUGACAAGAGACUGUGUGUCGGCGGCUCGUUUCGAGUUGUUCUGCCCGCGGUGGACAGAAAAACUCAAAACCUUUAUUUCGUUUUUUUAUGCUUGAGCAGUUUUGUGAAGCACCAGAACGAAUGCGUGACGGGACAUUCUCCUGCUCUCUCCAUCUAUAGCUCUCCAGCGGUGUUUGCUGGGGGAAGGAAGCGCGCUACUGUUCAACUUCCACCACCUCGGUUUUUCCAGCCGGUCCAAGGAUUUGAACUGGCAGCCCUCCAGUCACAACCUCUUAUACUCUAGUCUAUGCAAUGCAAUCAUUUAAUACAUUUAUCACAUUGCACUUCUUCACCCCACAGUGCUGCAGUGUUCUGUACCGUGAGGCACAAAACAUGUACUUAAAGCUCACCCUGUAUCAGUGCGCUUUCUAAGUGGAGGAGACGGAGCACGUGCAGGAGUGCGGGCUGAGCGGACGACUCGUCUCCGUCGCUGGCCAGAGCCAACCCAAACAAACCACAGUCCACUGGCAUGGAGAGCGAGGGAGGGAGUGUGUGUGUUUGUGUUUAACAGUGUGUGUGUGUGUGUGUGUGUGCGCCUUCAGCUCCCAUCCGUUUUGUCCCGCCUUCUCCAGAAAUAACCCCCCGCUAAGAAUAUUUAAUCCCCAGGUUACCGCGCUCUCCUCUCUCUAUGUCUCGCUCUUUAUCUCAUUCUCACACAUUUAAUGUUCAUACUGUACACUCACACACACACACUCACACACACACACACACACAC
Molecule: long non-coding RNA, 7729 nt
Organism: Scophthalmus maximus (turbot)
Lineage: Eukaryota; Metazoa; Chordata; Actinopteri; Pleuronectiformes; Scophthalmidae
Exons: 4
Source: RefSeq, a predicted model, not a curated record